RNAcentral lists this small RNA (395 nucleotides) under Arabidopsis thaliana (thale cress). RNAcentral's name for it is "ATSL278550". The record is from RNAcentral. Lineage: Eukaryota; Viridiplantae; Streptophyta; Magnoliopsida; Brassicales; Brassicaceae.
AAUAAUAUAUAAAAAAAGUUUCAUCCUUAAAGGCAAUGAUCAGUUUAACAAGGGUGGUCAUGGAGGAAGGUGAGUUCAUCUUUAGGAUAUUUUUUUUCUUAAAUUGUUAGGAUUUGUUUUCAAUUAAAGUUUUUUCUGCUUUAUAUAAUUAUAUACUCGAUCAUCAUGGUCUAUGCAGGGGAGGAAGAAGAGUGGAAUAUUCUGGCGGAAGAGAGGGUCAGAUUGCCGGAUAGUCGCUGGAACAAAGCUCAGAAAGUAGAAGCAUGAAAGCUUUCUUUCGACUUUGUCUCUCUUUACUAAUUGUAUUCGAGUUGUACUUAUAUUAACUUUAUACUUAAUUCUCUAAAUAUUUAGUAAUCCAAUCAAUAUAUAUAUAUAUAUAUAUAUAUAUAUUA